UACAGAGGAGGCAAGCGUUGUUCGGAAUUACUGGGCGUAAAGGGCGCGUAGGCGGCCUUCUAAGUCGAACGUGAAAUCCCCAGGCUCAACCCGGGAACUGCGUCCGAUACUGGAAGGCUUGAAUCCGGGAGAGGGAUGCGGAAUUCCAGGUGUAGCGGUAAAAUGCGUAGAUAUCUGGAGGAACACCGGUGGCGAAGGCGGCAUCCUGGACCGGCAUUGACGCUGAGGCGCGAAAGCCAGGGGAGCAAACGGG
Molecule: ribosomal RNA, 253 nt
Filed under: uncultured bacterium
Lineage: Bacteria
Description: partial 16S ribosomal RNA
Rfam family: Bacterial small subunit ribosomal RNA
Source: RNAcentral